Molecule: transfer RNA, 72 nt
Filed under: Pelodiscus sinensis (Chinese soft-shelled turtle)
Lineage: Eukaryota; Metazoa; Chordata; Testudines; Trionychidae
Rfam family: tRNA
About the family: Transfer RNA (tRNA) molecules are approximately 80 nucleotides in length. Their secondary structure includes four short double-helical elements and three loops (D, anti-codon, and T loops).
Source: Rfam by way of RNAcentral
UCCCUGAUGGUCUAGUGCUUAGGAUUGAACACUAUUAUUGCUGGGGCCUGGGUUUGAUUCCCAGUCAGGGAA